AUGAACGCUGGCGGCGUGCCUCAUCCCUGCCAGUCGAGCGAACAGACGAGGAGCUUGCUCCUCUGACGUUAGCGGCGGACGGGUGAGUAACACGUGGAUAACCUACCUAUAAGACUGGGAUAACUUCGGGAAACCGGAGCUAAUACCGGAUAAUAUAUUGAACCGCAUGGUUCAAUAGUGAAAGACGGUUUUGCUGUCACUUAUAGAUGGAUCCGCGCCGCAUUAGCUAGUUGGUAAGGUAACGGCUUACCAAGGCAACGAUGCGUAGCCGACCGGAGAGGGUGAUCGGCCACACUGGAACUGAGACACGGUCCAGACUCCUACGGGAGGCAGCAGUAGGGAAUCUUCCGCAAUGGGCGAAAGCCUGACGGAGCAACGCCGCGUGAGUGAUGAAGGUCUUCGGAUCGUAAAACUCUGUUAUUAGGGAAGAACAAAUGUGUAAGUAACUAUGCACGUCUUGACGGUACCUAAUCAGAAAGCCACGGCUAACUACGUG
RNAcentral lists this ribosomal RNA (496 nucleotides) under uncultured bacterium. RNAcentral describes it as "partial 16S ribosomal RNA". It matches the Rfam family "Bacterial small subunit ribosomal RNA", at positions 29 to 507 of the family's 1533-position model. The record is from RNAcentral.